This 433-nucleotide ribosomal RNA is filed under the name uncultured bacterium. Its description in RNAcentral is "partial 16S ribosomal RNA". It matches the Rfam family "Bacterial small subunit ribosomal RNA", at positions 29 to 507 of the family's 1533-position model. The record is from RNAcentral.
AACGAACGCUGGCGGCAUGCCUAACACAUGCAAGUCGAACGAGACCUUCGGGUCUAGUGGCGCACGGGUGCGUAACGCGUGGGAACCUGCCCUUAGGUUUCGAAUAACUCCCCGAAAGGGGUGCUAAUACCGGAUAAUGUCUUCGGACCAAGGAUUUAUCGCCUUUGGAUGGGCCCGCGUUGGAUUAGCUAGUUGGUAGGGUAAAAGCCUACCAAGGCGACGAUCCAUAGCUGGUCUGAGAGGAUGAUCAGCCACACUGGGACUGAGACACGGCCCAGACUCCUACGGGAGGCAGCAGUGGGGAAUAUUGGACAAUGGGCGAAAGCCUGAUCCAGCAAUGCCGCGUGAGUGAUGAAGGCCUUAGGGUUGUAAAGCUCUUUUACCCGAGAUGAUAAUGACAGUACCGGGAGAAUAAGCUCCGGCUAACUCCGUG